Molecule: RNA transcript, 4254 nt
Organism: Triticum dicoccoides
Lineage: Eukaryota; Viridiplantae; Streptophyta; Magnoliopsida; Poales; Poaceae
Exons: 10
Source: RefSeq, a predicted model, not a curated record
CCCAUGGACCCCAUCCUUCGUUGCCCUUUCCCAUCGAUCCCAUCUACCCCCGCCGCCGCCGUCCGAGGGGGAGACGACGCCGCCGCCGCCUCUGCAAGGCAGGGCGGUUUGAAUCCCGCCGCUGCCGAACUCCGGGAAACGCCCGACGGCGUACCCUGGAAGGCCUGGAUCAAGGAGGAGCACAGGUAUACCCUGCCACCAAAAUCUCAAUUGCAAUCCACGCAUUAAAGCAGGACUCCCCGAUCCGUCAGACAGAUCCUGCCGUUGGCCGCGACCCUCGUCGUCUACCUCCACCGGCCAUCCCGCACACCCUUGCUCUCCGUGCGUCGCGCCAUUCCCCACCCCGUUGUGCCCCGCCUCUGUCCUAACCGUCGAAAUCGGCCUCGCCGGCGGCGCCGCUCCCGUGUGCUUCGUGCUCCUGCGCUGCUGCCGUCGCGAUGUCCGGGGGAUCCAUGGCGGCCAGCUGCUUGUCAACCACAACGAGCGGAGGUAGCGAGUUGGAUUUGGCCACGCCUGAGUCUGUCAUGUUCUUGUGGGCCGGCAGCGAUUUCGUGGCCGCGGCAUUGCGGCGCGGUGGCCGGGGGUCGCGGCGUCCCAUGUGGGUGCAGUGGUCACGGCACAGGCACACACGACGGUGGUCGCGCAUGGGGCUGCGCUGGUCUGUGACCACAUGGUGGCGGAAGAAGGUCGUCUUCCCAUAGCACUGCACGCUGGCCGCCAUCUCCAUCGGCGGCUGCACCAACAAGACAGACUGUAUAAUUCGGAUGGGUCUUCUUCUACAUGGUGACUAUUGACGCAAAGAAGGAUUGCACUUCGUUCCCAUCUUCUACAUAGCCUAUACGCGUGUUGUGCUAUUUCAGGAGGAAUAUGAAAAGGAGAUCAAUGACACCAGGUCCCACGAGCUCAUCUUUCUGAAUGGUGCCUUGCUAGGAUGACCCAAAUUAUGUUAGUGUCGGUACGUUUAGUUGGUGAUGGUUUAGCGGGAGCGACAGCUGCAUCUGUAACUUACGUAACUUACCCAUUGGAUGUUGUUCGAACUCGCUUGGCAACACAGGUAACGUCCGUGAUGUGUCCUGUUUAACUCUUUGGGAUGUUCAGUCCAUUGCUUAUAUUGCUGGUACAGGAGGGUGAGGCAGUGUCAAAGCUACUUAGCAUUCUAAGAUUGUGAACCAGUAUAUGGGUUUGCACAUCUGAGUGCUGGUGAUCUUCUUCGCGAAGAAGUUAAAUGUGAUAUGGAGCAGAUUAAAAUUGACCAUGAGCUCGUACUAUUAAUUGAUGGCUCAAGGGAAGAGACAGCGGCAUAUUCUUAGUUGAAAUCAGGGGAAUAGAUGAUGACGCAUGGACACCAUUCGGUGGCAGUUUGAUGUUUUUCAGGAAUGAAUUCCACUCGUUAUUCAAUACCACUAUGAGAAAAGUAGUGAAAUGCUGGCCGUCUGCAAAAUGUACUGGUCCGUCUCGCGGUCUCACCCCAAAAACAGAGGAGAGGAGCAGAGAGCUCCUCCCUCACACUUGUCGGCUCCAAGGAGCCCCGCCACCAUGCAUGGAGAAGAGGAGCGCGAAGCUCCGCCGCGGUGUAAGGCAAACCAAGGCUGCAACGUUCGAAUAUUAUACUCAGUCAGUUGCUCGACUACUUACAGUCCUAUUACUUGAGACUUAAUACUCGGCCAGCUGCCGUGUACAUUGUUCUGACAUAAAUGCCACCAUGUCUAUGCACAAGUCAGAAGGAACUUACCAUCUAAAAAGAUGUCUAAUUAGUGUGGUACAUGCUUCAGUACUGCAAGUUGGAGUAGCAAUGCCUACCUGCACAUUGAUGCUCAUACCUGACGGUGAGAGAAGUUGCAUCUUGAGAUUCAAUUCUUUGAUUUAUGAUGCCCAGCCAUAUGCACAAUGAGAACAUAUAUCCUUUUUACUAAUCUCUGUUUUUCUAAGUUGAAACUAUUUCUUUGUUACUUGGUGUGUGUGAAGUGCAAUCAUAGUCCUGUCACAAACUUGUUUGAGGACGGCAAAAGACUGGCCUUUUGCCGGACAGAGAAAAGACCGGCUUAUUUUAUUUUAACACAACAUAGCAAGCUCCAUAUAUUGCAGUUAGUACAUGGCAGGAUGCAGACUAUGUGCAGUAUUAGUGGUGUUUAGACUCCAAAAUGGCAGUAUUAGUGGUGUUUUAAAGAGAAAGAUUCGUAAAUGAUGUUGUUCUCUACUAAGAAAAUUCAGUAGUCGGUGUCACCAUUGAGUGCCAAUGUGAUGGGCAUUUAAGAUUUAGAUUCAGAACUCCUGGGUUCAACACAGAUGGCUUCACUUCAAUAUUUUUCCCCAUGUGGUUGAUGGAUGCGUACAUAUCUAUGUACACUGGUACAUAUCCAUCCAUUCAACUUCAGUUUUGAUGCAUCGUGUAUACUGAAUCCUACAUUAUGUUGAGAAAUUUAGAUAUAUAAAAGUAUCUGUAAGCCGACCACAUACCACACAUUUUAAAGGUUUAUUUUCUCUACAUCUGUACUAGCUUUGAACCAAGUAUUUCUACCUUCUUUUUAUUUGUUGCCAGAAAUUAAGGAAUGUCGAUCUGAUGUAUUUUUACAACAAUCAGCGUGUUGAUGUGGAGCUUGUCCAUUCGCGACAUAACUUGUUUAUGUGGGAUGGUUGGAUGAUUGAAAGUCGGACGUACCAUUAACGACGGUUGUGAGCAUGGAUUGGGGAGACGAAGAUUAUGGGAGCACAAGAAAGAAAAGAAGAAGAAAACACGUUGCGGAGCGUCGCGGCCUCCCAGUUCUUGGCCUCCGUCGGGUGGCUAGACCACGCCACAUAGAAGACGAGGGUUAUGUCAGUUAGGGGCCUCGGCAACGACGACGAGAAUGGCCAGGUCGAAAUCACAGGUGCGUGACGGCUGGAGACGGCCGCAGGGUCCAGAGAUGGGGCGCACGGCGGAUGUGUUCUACUUCCCAUUGAGAGAAUUCUGGUGGGUUUCUCUAAUAGUAUGCCAAACUAACUAACAAUUGUAGUUAACUAUACCGCAGCGGCGCACUUCUUAUUUUGGGAUUAAGCCUAAUGCUUGCUCUACCAAUCAAGUAGUACUGUUGUGAACUCAUAGGUAAAACCAUUCUCUAUCCAAUACAGUGUUAGCAUAGCUGAGCGUGAUUAGGAGGGCAUGAUUAUUACUUUGGAUUGCUUUACGUAGAUUGGCAUGGCUGAUCUUCCCUUCCAUUAUUAUUGCUACUUUAUGUUUUAAUUCCAUUUUUCUUUACUUGUUCGGAUCCAUGUUCCAGUGACUUCCUGAACUUUUACUUGUUGAUGGGAAGUUUCUAUUUUAAUUUUUCUUUCACUUUAUCUUCAGGUUUACAGGGUUAAUGGAUCCAUGUUUGAGUUUAUAGAAGUGUGUUUACUUAUCUAGCUUUCUGUUUUCAUUCUGUUUGAAAUCCAUCGACAUUUUCCAAAAUUCCCUUAUCAAUGCACGAGUUUCCUUUCUUAAUUAACAUGUGAAGUUCCUUGUUCAACAAUGAUUUUUAGGCCAAAUCAGAGGAUGCAGGUUGUACCAUUGAAGAGAGAAAAUUAUGAGAAAACUACAAUAUAUGAGAGGCUUGGUUGAUACCUUCAGAAAAGCUACAUCCCAAUAAUGUUGUGGGUUACACCUUCUGGCUUGAAAAUCAGCUUCAUAACAAGAAAGUUGCAACACUAUAUUGGUGGAUAAUUGCAUUAAAUAAAUGUUGUAAUGGUGCAUUUGUUUUUAGAUUUCUAUUAACCUGGUACCAAAAAGUUGGAGAGCAAGGACCUUAUAUCAGUGGUGUUUAUACUCCAAAAUUGUGGUGUUUAUACUCCAAAAUUGCAGUAUCAGUGGUGUUUAGAUUCCAAAACCUAUCUAGAGUAAUCUGUCAUUUGUUCUUCAAAGAGAUUGCGUAUCUGUUACCCCAUGUCAGGUUCAGUACCUCUGGGUUCAAGAUCUAUAGCUACAAGUAUUUUUGACUAGAUUGUGGUCAUAUAUGUGCUAAUUCAUGCUGAUACGCAUGCUCUUUGAACUUUUGAAAGGAAUGGAUGAAAUCAUCAUCAGAGCUUCUGCAAAUGGGAUCUCUCUUGUAAGCCCCGCUAUAGUUACUUCACUGGUCUGAACUUUGAGUAACUUGAUAUAUGUCUCCCAGACAAAAAUAUUUUUAUUUAUUAGUUGUAUACAUCGUAGGUUAAUACUCGUGGAUGUUGAAGAAGUUAAAUGCUAUGUACUCUUUAUUAGUUUGGUUUGAAAUGAAAAGGAUGGCAAGCUUCUUCAGUUUA